GCGGGCGUGGUGGAAUUAGUAGACACGGGAGACUUAGGGCCUGAUGCCGCGAGGUUUGGGAGUUCGAGUCUCCCCGCCCGCACAA
RNAcentral lists this transfer RNA (85 nucleotides) under Sinomicrobium pectinilyticum. Its description in RNAcentral is "tRNA-Leu". It matches the Rfam family "tRNA". From Rfam's summary of the family: Transfer RNA (tRNA) molecules are approximately 80 nucleotides in length. Lineage: Bacteria; Pseudomonadati; Bacteroidota; Flavobacteriia; Flavobacteriales; Flavobacteriaceae. The record is from RNAcentral.